Molecule: ribosomal RNA, 632 nt
Filed under: Cystobasidium ongulense
Lineage: Eukaryota; Fungi; Basidiomycota; Cystobasidiomycetes; Cystobasidiales; Cystobasidiaceae
Description: eukaryotic LSU rRNA
Rfam family: Eukaryotic large subunit ribosomal RNA
Source: RNAcentral
AGACCUCAAAUCAGUCAGGACUACCCGCUGAACUUAAGCAUAUCAAUAAGCGGAGGAAAAGAAACUAACAAGGAUUCCCCUAGUAACGGCGAGUGAAGUGGGAAAAGCUCAACUUUGAAAUCUGGUACUUUCAGUAUCCGAAUUGUAGUCUCAAGAAGUGUUUUCUGUGCCGGUCCAUGUAUGAGUCUGUUGGAACACAGCGUCAUAGAGGGUGACAACCCCGUUCAUGACAUGGAUCCCGGUGCUUUGUGAUACACUCUCGAAGAGUCGAGUUGUUUGGGAAUGCAGCUCAAAUUGGGUGGUAAAUUCCAUCUAAAGCUAAAUAUUGGCGAGAGACCGAUAGCAAACAAGUACCGUGAGGGAAAGAUGAAAAGCACUUUGGAAAGAGAGUUAACAGUACGUGAAAUUGUUGAAAGGGAAACGAUUGAAGUCAGACGUGCGUGAUGCGGUUCAGCUUUAGUUCGCUAGAGUGUACUCCGUAUCUUUGCAGGCCAGCAUCGGUUUUUUUAGUCGGAUAAAGGUUUGAGAAAUGUGGCAUCUUCGGAUGUGUUAUAGUCUCAGACUGAAUACGAUUGAUGGGACCGAGGAACGCAGCGCGCCGCAAGGCAAAGGUUCCGACCUUCGCGCUAGGA